CAGUCGCCGCGGUAAUACGAGGGGUGCAAGCGUUAUUCGGAUUGAUUGGGUGUAAAGGGUGUGCAGACGGCUUAUUAAGUCACUUGUUAAAUUCUUCGGCCUAACUGAAGGUCUGCAAGUGAUACUGAUGAGCUAGAGGGUGGAAGAGAGAAGUGGAAUUCUCGGAGUAGCGGUAAAAUGCGUAGAUCUCGAGAGGAACACCAAUGGCGAAGGCAGCUUCUUGGUCCAUUCCUGACGUUCAUACACGAAAGCGUGGGGAGCGAACAGGAUUAGAUACCCGCGUAGUCCCUGUCUCUUAUAC
RNAcentral lists this ribosomal RNA (301 nucleotides) under uncultured bacterium. Its description in RNAcentral is "partial 16S ribosomal RNA". It matches the Rfam family "Bacterial small subunit ribosomal RNA", at positions 509 to 807 of the family's 1533-position model. The record is from RNAcentral.